This 810-nucleotide ribosomal RNA is filed under the name Triticum aestivum (bread wheat). Its description in RNAcentral is "partial small subunit ribosomal RNA". Lineage: Eukaryota; Viridiplantae; Streptophyta; Magnoliopsida; Poales; Poaceae. The record is from RNAcentral.
AUGUCUUCGCCUCAUCCCGUUUUCAGGGACCGGCGACGUUCUACUCGCCCCCAUCAUGAUAAGUCAUCAUUUGACAUAUGUCGCACCCAACUUCCGACGCUCCCCCUAGAGCCCGCGCCCGCCAUGCGUCACUCUGACGCCGGCGUUCACCUCCCAGCCGUCUACCACUCUGACAACGUCGGCCACCCCCUCUCCUCCUUGCUCCAUGUCCCAGCCAUGUCAACCUGCCUGAACUCGGUGGCGGCUCCAUCUCGCAAGGCUGGCGACCUCCCGGUGGUGUCCGGCCUAGGCAUCUCCUCCUGCUCUAAGUUGUCCGAUGGACACGGUUCUCCAGAGGUCUCAUCGCGGGCGCUCAUCGCCCCUGUUGUGGUCGCAGCUCAGGCGGACACCGCCGUGGUGGGCAGCUGCUGCCGGCCUUGGGUCCCCGCCCAGCCAUCCAAGAGGUCGUUCUGGAGGCGGCACCACGCGGGAGAUCUGGCUCCCCAACCGCAGCUCCCCUCCCCUCCCAUACGGUGCGAAGCCUCCCCGAAUAUGGACGGGCUCUGCUUCCGGUGCCUUCGGGAGGGCCAUCAUCACCAGGGUUGCACCAGUGACAUAGUGUGUAUCCGGUGCGGCGAAGAAGCUCACGGCUGCAGGGAGUGCAAGAACCCGCGUAGCCCAUCCUUCGAGUUGGAGCUCCGUCGUCUCGCCAUAGCCAAGGUUGCGCAGGUCGGCUGGCGGCAGGGCCCAGGUCUGCACUCUGCUUCCGCCGCCUCCCCGUCAGCUGCCACGGCCGCGGCGGACCCGUGGCCCCAUCUCGCUGGUCCAUGA